UAGUCUUUGUCGGAAACCAUAUGAUAAUUACUUUUGUAUCCUUAGACAUAGAGGAGACAUACUAUUUGAGAGAGUAAUGAUUAUAGUUUUUUUGAAUUUUGAAUAUUUCCGAAGAGUAUAGGCAAACAUUAUAAUUAGAAAUUAUAAAUAUAUCUUGCUAUUAUACCCAUUAAAAACGCUGGAAAACCCUAGCGCCGUUUGAGGAAGAAGUUUUUUGGUGGCUCUCGUCAAUCCUGCGAAUCUGAAUCCGUUUCAUCUCCAAUCAAGUGGUAGUCGACUCAUCUGCAAAGUGGAGACCUGGGUUUUUGCUUUUCUCUCUCUGUCUUCGUCUUCUUCUUCCCAUAUAUACUUGUCUAAGUAUCCUACAUAGGUGAGAUAUGGGAAUUUCCUUUAAGGGUUGUAGAUGACGAAUCCAGGCUUGUUGAUGUGUCUACAACCGAAGCCUCCAUAACCUCCUCUCUUAGGGCAACCACCACCACCACCAGAUCCUUCACCUCCAUUUAAUCAUUCGUAUCCACCAUCGCCUCCUCUCUCACGGCAACCACCACCACCAGAUCUGUAACACCACCGCCUCCUCCGUAUUCACCACCACCAGAUCUGUAAUACCAUCACUUCCUCUGUAUUCAUCACCACCAGAUCUGUAACACCACUGCUUUCUCCGUAACACCACCGCCGUUUCCUUUUUGUGUUUUCUUGUUUUUUUCAAAAUUUCAUGUGUUUUGGAAGUUGUUUUAUCACUUGAUAUACCACGGUACUUUUACGUAUACAUGUAUUUUUUCCCUAAAACAUUGUAUUUUUCAACGUUUCUUUUAAAUGAUACAUGUUUUUUACUUAUA
Molecule: long non-coding RNA, 836 nt
Organism: Arabidopsis lyrata subsp. lyrata
Lineage: Eukaryota; Viridiplantae; Streptophyta; Magnoliopsida; Brassicales; Brassicaceae
Exons: 2
Source: RefSeq, a predicted model, not a curated record